CCCCAGGAAAAUAUGCUUUAACCAAAUCAGAAGAGAUAUGAAAUCGUGUGGGGGGAGAAAGGGGAUCAAAAGAGGUCAGAAAGAAAGAAAGAAAGAAAAAAGGAAAGAAAAAAAAUUUAAAAAGAAAACGAAUAAAGAAAAGUAUAAAAAAGAAAAAAAUAUAUAUAUUAGAUAAAGUAGUUAAAAGACGUUAAAAAAGAAAAAGGUAAAAGUUAAAAAAAAUUUUUGCAGAAGAGAAAAAAAAUGAAAAAGAAAAAAAAUUAAAUUAACUGCAAGACUGAAGAAUCAUAGGAAGAAAGCCAUGAGUUCUGUGCUUUGCUUUCUCCUCCUCUGGAAUUCUGUGCUCUCCUUGGUAUUGAAACUGCACUCCUUGGUAGGUGAACUUGGUCUUGGCUGGAUUUCUUGUUGAUCUUCUGGGGGAGGAGCCUGGUGUAGUGAUUCUCAAGUGUCUUUGCCCCAGGCGGAAUUGCACCGCCCUUACCGGGUGCCAGGCUGAGUAAUCCACUCGGGUUUGCUUUCAGGAGCUUUUGUUCCCUGAGCGCUUUCUGUAGAGUUCCGGAGGAUGGGAAUACAAAUGAUGGCCUCCUGGUUCUGGCCCGGAGGAGCCGAGAGCCCGGGGCCCCACUCCUCAGUGCACCCGCAGAGAACAUUGCCCCCGCAGAGAAUAGCGCCCAGUAACUCCCAUCUGCCUGACCUCCAGCCUUGCUCUGAGCUCACCGAGUCUGCGACCGGUUCAAGUCUCAUGAGUUCCAGUAUCAUCAGUUCAGAAGCCUUUACUCCUAUAAAGAAGAUGGGGAUUCAUGCUCUAACACUUUGGAAGGUGGGUAUGCUUGUAGGGUGGGUACAUGACCAAUUCCAGCCCUCUCAGAAAAGAACUGGCACAAUAUACAGUAGUUUAAAUCUUUAUAGUCUGAAAAGCAGACUGUACAUAUGUUGUACAUUAUUGUAAUUUUUGGUGACAAUAGAAAGAGUUUAGUAAAACAGG
RNAcentral lists this long non-coding RNA (985 nucleotides) under Mustela putorius furo (domestic ferret). Its description in RNAcentral is "lncRNA (ENSMPUG00000030845.1)". Lineage: Eukaryota; Metazoa; Chordata; Mammalia; Carnivora; Mustelidae. The record is from RNAcentral.